AUGCGCAGUAAUGAUCUUAUAGCCGGAUACGCCGGUUGUUAUGGUAACCGGUCGGAUACAACAACAUGGCGCUGCCCGGUACCGUCCGCCGCCAGCUGGAUACAGUCACCCGGAACAUCUUCACUGAUAACCGAGGACGGGGUCGCAAAAGAGCGGGGUCCAUGAUGGCGGGGAGGUUGACGUGGUCUCUAGUUUGCCGCUGCAGAUGUCGCUCUACUUCAAUGUGUUUUAUUUCCCUUUCUGGUGGAUCUGUGAUGUCCUGACACUUCAACUGAAGUACGUCCUCC
Long non-coding RNA from Hyla sarda, 287 nucleotides. RefSeq lists it as uncharacterized. The record is from RefSeq and is a predicted model, not a curated record. The transcript has 3 exons. Lineage: Eukaryota; Metazoa; Chordata; Amphibia; Anura; Hylidae.